RNAcentral lists this ribosomal RNA (495 nucleotides) under uncultured bacterium. RNAcentral's name for it is "partial 16S ribosomal RNA". It matches the Rfam family "Bacterial small subunit ribosomal RNA", at positions 28 to 507 of the family's 1533-position model. The record is from RNAcentral.
GACGAACGCUGGCGGCGUGCCUAAUACAUGCAAGUAGAACGCUGAAGGAGGAGCUUGCUUCUCUGGAUGAGUUGCGAACGGGUGAGUAACGCGUAGGUAACCUGCCUGGUAGCGGGGGAUAACUAUUGGAAACGAUAGCUAAUACCGCAUAAUAGUAGAUGUUGCAUGACAUUUGCUUAAAAGGUGCAAUUGCAUCACUACCAGAUGGACCUGCGUUGUAUUAGCUAGUUGGUGGGGUAACGGCUCACCAAGGCGACGUUACAUAGCCGACCUGAGAGGGUGAUCGGCCACACUGGGACUGAGACACGGCCCAGACUCCUACGGGAGGCAGCAGUAGGGAAUCUUCGGCAAUGGACGGAAGUCUGACCGAGCAACGCCGCGUGAGUGAAGAAGGGUUUCGGAUCGUAAAGCUCUGUUGUAAGAGAAGAACGAGUGUGAGAGUGGAAAGUUCACACUGUGACGGUAUCUUACCAGAAAGGGACGGCUAACUACGUG